RNAcentral lists this ribosomal RNA (553 nucleotides) under Acinetobacter baumannii. RNAcentral's name for it is "partial 23S ribosomal RNA". It matches the Rfam family "Bacterial large subunit ribosomal RNA", at positions 159 to 674 of the family's 2925-position model. The record is from RNAcentral. Lineage: Bacteria; Pseudomonadati; Pseudomonadota; Gammaproteobacteria; Moraxellales; Moraxellaceae.
UGAAUUCAUAGGGUGUGUGGAGGGAACGCGGGGAAGUGAAACAUCUCAGUACCCGCAGGAAGAGAAAACAAUAGUGAUUCCGUCAGUAGCGGCGAGCGAACGCGGAGGAGGCUAAACCGCAUGCGUGUGAUACCCGGCAGGGGUUGCGUGUGUGGUGUUGUGGGGCGCGAAUUUCUUUGGUUCUGCCGGACCGGGCGCUGAGUGUCCGCGGGUUAGGGGAACGACUUGGAAGGGUCGGCCGUAGAGGGUGAGAGUCCCGUACCUGAAAGCCUUGUGGCCCAGUGGUUGUGUACCCAAGUAGCAGCGGGCCCGUGAAUCUGCUGUGAAUCUGCCGGGACCACCCGGUAAGCCUGAAUACUCCUUGGUGACCGAUAGCGGAUUAGUACCGUGAGGGAAUGGUGAAAAGUACCCCGGGAGGGGAGUGAAAUAGUACCUGAAACCGUGUGCUUACAAACCGUCAGAGGCUUUCGGGCUGAUGGCGUGCCUUUUGAAGAAUGAGCCUGCGAGUUAGUGGCAUGUCGCGAGGUUAACCCGUGUGGGGAAGCCGUAGCGA